This 375-nucleotide ribosomal RNA is filed under the name uncultured bacterium. Its description in RNAcentral is "bacterial SSU rRNA". It matches the Rfam family "Bacterial small subunit ribosomal RNA", at positions 29 to 407 of the family's 1533-position model. The record is from RNAcentral.
AUUGAACGCUGGCGGCAUGCCUUACACAUGCAAGUCGAACGGUAACAGGCCGCAAGGUGCUGACGAGUGGCGAACGGGUGAGUAAUGUAUCGGAACGUGCCUAGUCGUGGGGGAUAACUGCUCGAAAGAGCAGCUAAUACCGCAUACGACCUGAGGGUGAAAGCGGGGGAUCGCAAGACCUCGCGCGAUUGGAGCGGCCGAUAUCAGAUUAGGUAGUUGGUGGGGUAAAGGCCCACCAAGCCAACGAUCUGUAGCUGGUCUGAGAGGACGACCAGCCACACUGGGACUGAGACACGGCCCAGACUCCUACGGGAGGCAGCAGUGGGGAAUUUUGGACAAUGGACGCAAGUCUGAUCCAGCCAUGCCGCGUGCGGG